AGAGCCGGCUGUGGGCAGCGGACGCGGUUCUGCCGGGAGCCGAAGUUGGCGGUGAACGUGUACUCAACGUCAGUGACUGGUGAUGAUCUAAGUCCACGUGGCAUGCGGGCCUGGCUCAAUGAGUCUCUGCAGUUGAAUCUGACACAGCUGUGCUCAGGGGCUGCCUAUUGUGUUUAUGGACUUGCUGUUCCCUGGCUCCAUUGCCUUGAAGAAAGUGAAAUUCCAAGCUAAGCUAGAACACGAGUACAUCCAGAACUUCAAAAUACAAGCAGGUUUUAAGAGGAUGGGUGUUGACAAAAUAAUUCCUAUGGACAAAUUAGUAAAAGGAAUGUUUCAGGACAAUUGUGAAUUCGUUCAGUGAUUCAAGGAGUUUUCUGCCGCAAACUAUGACGGAAAAGACUAUGACCCUGUGGCUGCCAGACGAGGUCAAGGAACGGCAGCGGCUCCCUCCCUCGUUGCUCAGCUGGUCAACGUAUUGAAACUUACUGUUAAAGACUUGGAGAAAGACAGGGAUUUCUACUUCGGAAAGCUACGGAACAUUGAAUUGAUUUGCCAGGGGAUGAGGAGGAAAACCACCCGGUAUUGCGGAGGACUGUAGCCGUUCCGUAUGCCACAGAUGGAGGCUUAUGUGAUGCCUGAGGAAGGGGACCAACAGGAGGAGCAAGAAGAGGGUGAGCAGCCUGGAGCAGCAGAGCAACACCCGGACUCCUCACUCCGAAUCAUGGGCUUCGCUGUAAAAUACUCCCUUUCGUUAUCCUUAGAGGCCUCACUGGUUUCUUUUCAUAAGCAAAAAGCACUUGUUCUAAAGUGCAUGUUGCAGACGUUUCCCUCCUUCUCCAGGAAGUUUGAGUUAGGAGCUCUCACCUUGUAGCACGCAGCCUCAACAUCUAGUUGGUUCACCUGGGAAGCAAAGAGGCUGACCCUGGGGCUCGCCGUUCGGAUUCGGGUCACACUGAGUGUUGGAGGAGAGGUUGUGUCGUAUGCUGAGGCAGCGGCCUCAGUGGAGAAAUGUCAAGACUGAAUUGAAUUCUAAGCUACUGUGAAAUCAGAGAAUGCUGUAAUAAAUGAAUGCCUUAAGAGAGAAAAAAA
This is a long non-coding RNA of Sapajus apella (tufted capuchin), 1089 nucleotides long. RefSeq lists it as uncharacterized. The record is from RefSeq and is a predicted model, not a curated record. The transcript has 2 exons. NCBI's taxonomy places the organism in Eukaryota, Metazoa, Chordata, Mammalia, Primates, Cebidae.